This 67-nucleotide transfer RNA is filed under the name Marmota monax (woodchuck). RNAcentral's name for it is "tRNA.Ala". The record is from RNAcentral. Lineage: Eukaryota; Metazoa; Chordata; Mammalia; Rodentia; Sciuridae.
GGAUGUGGCCCAAGCAGUAGCACACUUGCCUGGCAUGCAUGUGGCCUGGGUUCGAUCCUCAGCACCA